GAUGUAGCUCAGUGGUAGAGCAUGUGCUUAGCAUGCACAAGGCCCUGGGUUCAAUUCCCAAUGCA
Molecule: transfer RNA, 65 nt
Filed under: Marmota monax (woodchuck)
Lineage: Eukaryota; Metazoa; Chordata; Mammalia; Rodentia; Sciuridae
Description: tRNA.Ala
Rfam family: tRNA (bases 5-61)
About the family: Transfer RNA (tRNA) molecules are approximately 80 nucleotides in length.
Source: RNAcentral